RNAcentral lists this ribosomal RNA (253 nucleotides) under uncultured bacterium. Its description in RNAcentral is "partial 16S ribosomal RNA". It matches the Rfam family "Bacterial small subunit ribosomal RNA", at positions 524 to 776 of the family's 1533-position model. The record is from RNAcentral.
UACAGAGGUCCCAAGCGUUGUUCGGAUUCACUGGGCGUAAAGGGUGCGUAGGUGGCGGGGUAAGUCUGAUGUGAAAGCUUCGAGCUCAACUCGAAAAUGGCAUUGGAUACUAUUCUGCUAGAGGGUUGGAGGGGGGACUGGAAUUCUCGGUGUAGCAGUGAAAUGCGUAGAUAUCGAGAGGAACACCGGUGGCGAAGGCGAGUCCCUGGACAACACCUGACACUGAGGCACGAAAGCUAGGGGAGCAAACAGG